RNAcentral lists this ribosomal RNA (324 nucleotides) under uncultured eukaryote. RNAcentral's name for it is "partial 18S ribosomal RNA". It matches the Rfam family "Eukaryotic small subunit ribosomal RNA", at positions 1470 to 1796 of the family's 1831-position model. The record is from RNAcentral.
CCCUUAGAUGCUCUGGGCCGCACGCGCGCUACACUGGUCGAUGCAACGAGUUUCUUUCCUUGGCCGACAGGCCUGGGCAAUCUUUGAACAUCGAUCGUGAUCGGGAUAGAUUCUUGUAAUUUUUGAUCUUAAACGAGGAAUUCCUAGUAAACGCAAGUCAUCAGCUUGCAUUGAUUACGUCCCUGCCCUUUGUAUACACCGCCCGUCGCACCUACCGAUUGAAUGGUCCGGUGAAAUCUCCGGACUGGCGUGAGUCGGAGCAAUCUGACAAACACCGGAAAGUUGAUUAAACCUUACCAUUUAGAGGAAGGUGAAGUCGUAACA